UCUUGAUAGACUUAUCUCUCGACCUAGGCUUGAUGACUCAUUCUCACAAGUUGUUUGUAUACUGUGCAGAACAGCUGUCAUUGUUUUGCAUCUUCCUGAUUCACCAGCACCACUGGAAUUGACAGGAUGGCAGAGACAGAGUGGACAAGUAUCUUUCAGAUUACAGCAAAGAAUCUUAUAGACUCCUGGCGUCUGGAGUUUGAUGACAGUAUUGUGCCCAACCGCCAACAACCGGGCUGGAAGAAGUCUAUUGUUUACACAAGUGCACGGUUCCACUGCAGCGAGUGUGGAAGACGCUGGUCUUCCAACAAGGUGGGGGUGGUCUGCAACAUGCGCCUGGCGUCCAGGCAGGGUGUUGUCAAGGUGAGGCCCUCCCGUCAGAACUGUAAGAUUUGCAGCAAUGCUCCAAUGGAGAAGCCAAGUAUCACUUCAGAGAACAUCAAACCCCUCCUGCAGAAUCUGGUGGAGAAGAUAAGAAUCAAAUGCUACAAUGAAGACCUGGGCAGAAAGAAAAGGCCCUUCAGAAGCUUUGAUGCCAAAAGUCCCCACGAGCCUGCUCAUUGUGAGGCCUGUAUGCAAGGCAUCUGUCCAAAGACAAAGUCAUAUUAGCAAAGUGUCAGUUGUACUACACUUUCCCUUCUGUCAUUCUGUUACAUUGCAUUGCUUGCAUCUUUUUUAAAUGAUAAAGUGCAUGUAAGCUUUCAUAAAUUGUUUUUUUUUGUUGAUUUU
RNA transcript from Etheostoma cragini (Arkansas darter), 729 nucleotides. It is a transcript of the gene named receptor-transporting protein 2-like, with no coding region annotated. The record is from RefSeq and is a predicted model, not a curated record. NCBI's taxonomy places the organism in Eukaryota, Metazoa, Chordata, Actinopteri, Perciformes, Percidae. The transcript is spliced from 3 exons.